This 105-nucleotide small nucleolar RNA is filed under the name Saitoella complicata NRRL Y-17804. RNAcentral describes it as "Small nucleolar RNA Z13/snr52". It matches the Rfam family "Small nucleolar RNA Z13/snr52". From Rfam's summary of the family: Z13 or snr52 is a member of the C/D class of snoRNA which contain the C (UGAUGA) and D (CUGA) box motifs. Most of the members of the box C/D family function in directing site-specific 2'-O-methylation of substrate RNAs. The record is from Rfam by way of RNAcentral. Lineage: Eukaryota; Fungi; Ascomycota; Saitoellomycetes; Saitoellales; Saitoellaceae.
AUCGUUCGGGUGAUGAACCAUUUCGGAUGUCAAAACACAAAUUGUCUCCGAGAGCGUUUAACCCCAUGUGGAGAUUGCCGUUGCCUUCCUUCUAAUAUCUAUCGA